GGAGAGAUGGCUGAGUGGACUAAAGCGGCAGAUUGCUAAUCCGCUGUACGAAUUAUUCGUACCGAGGGUUCGAAUCCCUCUCUCUCCG
This 88-nucleotide transfer RNA is filed under the name Libertia peregrinans. Its description in RNAcentral is "tRNA-Ser". It matches the Rfam family "tRNA". Rfam says of the family: Transfer RNA (tRNA) molecules are approximately 80 nucleotides in length. Their secondary structure includes four short double-helical elements and three loops (D, anti-codon, and T loops). The record is from RNAcentral. RNAcentral also lists the same sequence under 17 other names. Lineage: Eukaryota; Viridiplantae; Streptophyta; Magnoliopsida; Asparagales; Iridaceae.